UAGGGAAUCUUCCGCAAUGGGCGAAAGCCUGCCGGAGCAACGCCGCGUGAGUGAUGAAGGUCUUCGGAUCGUAAAACUCUGUUAUUAGGGAAGAACAAAUGUGUAAGUAACUAUGCACGUCUUGACGGAACCUAAUCAGAAAGCCACGGCUAACUACGUGCCAGCAGCCGCGGUAAUACGUAGGUGGCAAGCGUUAUCCGGAAUUAUUGGGCGUAAAGCGCGCGUAGGCGGUUUUUUAAGUCUGAUGUGAAAGCCCACGGCUCAACCGUGGAGGGUCAUUGGAAACUGGAAAACUUGAGUGCAGAAGAGGAAAGUGGAAUUCCAUGUGUAGCGGUGAAAUGCGCAGAGUUAUGGAGGAACACCAGUGGCGAAGGCGACUUUCUGGUCUGUAACUGACGCUGAUGUGCGAAAGCGUGGGAAUCAAACAGG
RNAcentral lists this ribosomal RNA (429 nucleotides) under Actinomycetes bacterium. RNAcentral describes it as "Actinobacteria bacterium partial 16S ribosomal RNA". It matches the Rfam family "Bacterial small subunit ribosomal RNA", at positions 355 to 776 of the family's 1533-position model. Lineage: Bacteria; Bacillati; Actinomycetota; Actinomycetes. The record is from RNAcentral.